RNAcentral lists this ribosomal RNA (492 nucleotides) under uncultured bacterium. Its description in RNAcentral is "partial 16S ribosomal RNA". It matches the Rfam family "Bacterial small subunit ribosomal RNA", at positions 29 to 507 of the family's 1533-position model. The record is from RNAcentral.
AGUGAACGCUGGCGGCAGGCCUAACACAUGCAAGUCGAACGGCAGCACAGUAAGAGCUUGCCCUUACGGGUGGCGAGUGGCGGACGGGUGAGGAAUACAUAGGCAUCUACUUUUUCGUGGGGGAUAACGUAGGGACACUUACGCUACUACCGCAUACGACCAACGGGUGAAAGCAGGGGAUAUUCGGACCUUUCGCGAUUGUAUGAGCCGAUGUCGGAUUAGCUAGUUGGCGAGGUAAAGGCCCACCAAGGCGACGAUCCGUAGCUGGUCUGAGAGGAUGAUCGGCCACACUGGAACUGAGACACGGUCCAGACUCCUACGGGAGGCAGCAGUAGGGAAUAUUGGACAAUGGGCGCAAGCCUGAUCCAGCCAUACCGCGUGGGUGAAGAAGGCCUUCGGGUUGUAAAGCCCUUUUGUUGGGAAAGAAAAGCUGUAGGUGAAUACCCCGCUGUUCUGACGGUACCCAAUGAAUAAGCACCGGCUAACUUCGUG